This 851-nucleotide ribosomal RNA is filed under the name uncultured bacterium. RNAcentral's name for it is "bacterial SSU rRNA". It matches the Rfam family "Bacterial small subunit ribosomal RNA", at positions 11 to 822 of the family's 1533-position model. The record is from RNAcentral.
GUUUGAUCCUGGCUCAGGACGAACGCUCCUUUCGUGCCUAAUACAUGCAAGUCGAGCGAGCUUGCCUAGAUGAUUUUAGUGCUUGCACUAAAUGAAACUAGAUACAAGCGAGCGGCGGACGGGUGAGUAACACGUGGGUAACCUGCCCAAGAGACUGGGAUAACACCUGGAAACAGAUGCUAAUACCGGAUAACAACACUAGACGCAUGUCUAGAGUUUGAAAGAUGGUUCUGCUAUCACUCUUGGAUGGACCUGCGGUGCAUUAGCUAGUUGGUAAGGUAACGGCUUACCAAGGCAAUGAUGCAUAGCCGAGUUGAGAGACUGAUCGGCCACAUUGGGACUGAGACACGGCCCAAACUCCUACGGGAGGCAGCAGUAGGGAAUCUUCCACAAUGGACGAAAGUCUGAUGGAGCAACGCCGCGUGAGUGAAGAAGGGUUUCGGCUCGUAAAGCUCUGUUGGUAGUGAAGAAAGAUAGAGGUAGUAACUGGCCUUUAUUUGACGGUAAUUACUUAGAAAGUCACGGCUAACUACGUGCCAGCAGCCGCGGUAAUACGUAGGUGGCAAGCGUUGUCCGGAUUUAUUGGGCGUAAAGCGAGUGCAGGCGGUUCAAUAAGUCUGAUGUGAAAGCCUUCGGCUCAACCGGAGAAUUGCAUCAGAAACUGUUGAACUUGAGUGCAGAAGAGGAGAGUGGAACUCCAUGUGUAGCGGUGGAAUGCGUAGAUAUAUGGAAGAACACCAGUGGCGAAGGCGGCUGUCUGGUCUGCAACUGACGCUGAGGCUCGAAAGCAUGGGUAGCGAACAGGAUUAGAUACCCUGGUAGUCCAUGCCGUAAACGAUGAGUGCUAGGUG